UCCCUGGCAGUCCAGUGGUUAGGACUCCAUGCUUUCACUGCUGUGGGCCCAGGUUCAAUCCCUGGUCAGGGAA
Molecule: transfer RNA, 73 nt
Filed under: Balaenoptera acutorostrata scammoni
Lineage: Eukaryota; Metazoa; Chordata; Mammalia; Artiodactyla; Balaenopteridae
Description: tRNA-Sup (TCA) (tRNA-Sup-TCA-16-1)
Rfam family: tRNA
About the family: Transfer RNA (tRNA) molecules are approximately 80 nucleotides in length. Their secondary structure includes four short double-helical elements and three loops (D, anti-codon, and T loops). Further hydrogen bonds mediate the characteristic L-shaped molecular structure. tRNAs have two regions of fundamental functional importance: the anti-codon, which is responsible for specific mRNA codon recognition, and the 3' end, to which the tRNAs corresponding amino acid is attached (by aminoacyl-tRNA synthetases). tRNAs cope with the degeneracy of the genetic code in two manners: having more than one tRNA (with a specific anti-codon) for a particular amino acid; and 'wobble' base-pairing, i.e. permitting non-standard base-pairing at the 3rd anti-codon position.
Source: RNAcentral